AAUGAACGUUGGCGGCGUGGAUUAGGCAUGCAAGUCGUGCGAUAACCCCGCAAGGGGGGAAAGCGGCGAAGGGAGAGUAACGCGUGGGUACCUGCCCCUUGGUCCGGAAUAGCUGCGGGAAACUGCAGGUAAUGCCGGAUACUAUCCGCGGAUCAAAGGUGUGAUUCCGCCGAGGGAGGGGCCCGCGUUCUAUUAGCUAGUUGGUAGGGUAAUGGCCUACCAAGGCGACGAUGGAUACCGGGUGUGAGAGCAUGACCCGGCUCACUGGGACCGAGAGACUGCCCAGACACCUACGGGUGGCUGCAGUCGAGAAUCUUCGGCAAUGGGCGCAAGCCUGACCGAGCGACGCCGCGUGCGGGAUGAAGGCCUUCGGGUUGUAAACCGCUGUCGUAGAGGAGGAAAUGCCAUGGGGUUCUCUCCAUGGUUUGACCUAUUCUAGGAGGAAGGACGGGCUAAGUUCGUGCCAGCAGCCGCGGUAA
Molecule: ribosomal RNA, 479 nt
Filed under: uncultured bacterium
Lineage: Bacteria
Description: partial 16S ribosomal RNA
Rfam family: Bacterial small subunit ribosomal RNA
Source: RNAcentral